GCGCACCUAGCUCCCCUAGCUCAGCUCAUCACCAAUCAGUGGUCACUCGAUUGGCCCAUGCGUCCGCAGCUCGCGAUCGUCAGACCUGGCCGGUCGCUUGCCCGGAUCGCCCCAAUACGCCCUCAUGAUGGGCUCAAGGUGACAGCUCGGUCAGAUCUGGGGCCGUGCGUGAAGUGAUCUAGUCCAUUGUAGGCGUGCUCAUGGAGCUCAUGUCGUUGACCCUGUUUCGGCUGUUGGGGAUGAUGUGCUCCAUCCUAACCUUCCUCACCGUGCUGUCCAACCUGCAGUUCCUCACCAUCUCCCACAUCUUGUCCAGCGCCAUCUCGGAGUCACUGGAAUUUGCAUACUAUCUCCAAAAUCUGAGAAGCACUAAGGGCAAGUUUUUUCAGAGUACAGGUUUACAUGGAAUUAUAAAAGAGUAGAUCAUGAUAAUGUAGACUAAGUGGUACCUUUUGGAAAAGAAAGCUCCAUACUAAUAUCGUAUCUUUAGUUGUUGAAACAACUGUGUCCUCGUAAAGAUGAUAAGAUAUAAAAUAUGAUUAAAACAAUCUUUAUGUUUAAAAGCAGAACAAUCCAUGCCAAAAGGUAGUAAAUUCAGAAUUCCAAUUAUGAAUGUUAGCUUCUAUAGUCCAUGAAAAAAAACAGUUGCAAAGCAGUACUCUAGUAUUCUUAACUCCACUAAGAUUAGUUGUGAUUAAUCACAACCGACGUCAGAACUAACUAAUUCCAUUAGAAAGACCUAUC
RNAcentral lists this long non-coding RNA (744 nucleotides) under Zea mays. RNAcentral describes it as "long non-coding RNA (ZMAY_LNC000762)". Lineage: Eukaryota; Viridiplantae; Streptophyta; Magnoliopsida; Poales; Poaceae. The record is from RNAcentral.